This 30-nucleotide non-coding RNA is filed under the name Macaca fascicularis (crab-eating macaque). Lineage: Eukaryota; Metazoa; Chordata; Mammalia; Primates; Cercopithecidae. The record is from RNAcentral. RNAcentral also lists the same sequence under 1 other name.
UUCCAAGUAAUAGACCAACUGUUCCUGAGG